Molecule: small nucleolar RNA, 168 nt
Organism: Homo sapiens (human)
Lineage: Eukaryota; Metazoa; Chordata; Mammalia; Primates; Hominidae
Source: RefSeq, marked validated
UUCCUGUUACCCCACAAGUUGGAACCCACAGAAGCCUGAAGCUUCCAGUGAUGGGGGAUUUGUGAGGCAGGAAAAAUAGAAGCUUUCUUCCUGGGGCUCCAUCUGCAGGGACCUGGCCCCAGCACCUUGUCCCAUAUUCGAGCGCAGGGACAGGCUCAGGCCACAGAG